Molecule: ribosomal RNA, 404 nt
Filed under: Fusobacteriota bacterium
Lineage: Bacteria; Fusobacteriati; Fusobacteriota
Description: Fusobacteria bacterium partial 16S ribosomal RNA
Rfam family: Bacterial small subunit ribosomal RNA
Source: RNAcentral
UGGGGAAUAUUGCACAAUGGAGGGAACUCUGAUGCAGCGACGCCGCGUGAGUGAAGAAGGAAUUCGUUUCGUAAAACUCUGUUCUAUGGGAAGAAAAGGACUGUACCAUAGGAGAAAGCUCCGGCUAAAUACGUGCCAGCAGCCGCGGUAAUACGUAUGGAGCGAGCGUUGUCCGGAAUUAUUGGGCGUAAAGGGUGCGCAGGCGGCUUUACAAGUUGGAUGUGAAAUAUUGUGGCUCAACCACAAACGUGCAUCCAAAACUGCAAAGCUUGAGUUAAGGAGAGGUAAGUGGAAUUCCUGGUGUAGCGGUGGAAUGCGUAGAUAUCAGGAGGAAUACCGGUGGCGAAGGCGACUUACUGGACUUAAACUGACGCUCAGGCACGAAAGCGUGGGGAGCAAACAGG